GUCUUCUCGGAUAGCUCAGUUGGUUAGAGUGUUGUGCUUACAAUGCCAAGGUUGCAGGUUCGACUCCCAUAUGGGACA
Molecule: non-coding RNA, 78 nt
Organism: Podarcis lilfordi (Lilford's wall lizard)
Lineage: Eukaryota; Metazoa; Chordata; Lepidosauria; Squamata; Lacertidae
Source: the annotation of a GenBank genome assembly